RNAcentral lists this ribosomal RNA (139 nucleotides) under Bacteroidales bacterium. The record is from RNAcentral. Lineage: Bacteria; Pseudomonadati; Bacteroidota; Bacteroidia; Bacteroidales.
UUUGGUGGCUAUGGAGUGAGUGUUCACCUCUUCCCAUUCCGUGCCGGGGGCUGCCGAACUUGUUGAGGCAACGAGAAGUUAAGCCUCACAUCGCCGAUGAUACUGCGCUUGUUCGUGGAAAAGUAGGUCGCCGCCAAUC